GGCACUCCAACUCUCUAUAAAUAACUCCAUCCUUCACAGCCAAACCCAAUUCAAAUCUGAAACCCAGGAAACACAAGAAGUAUGCACAAGGAAAUUCUGCCAAAAUUAAACCUGAAUCUCAUUCAAACGACACACAAGAAGAUAAAGAAAGAAACUCAAGCAAGCUUCAAUCUCACAUGCUAGCAAGCAAUAGACAAACUCUACCAAAUUCACCCAUAGCAAGCUCAAACUAAUUCACCCAUAGCAAGCUCAAAC
This 255-nucleotide unclassified non-coding RNA is filed under the name Hevea brasiliensis (rubber tree). The record is from RNAcentral. Lineage: Eukaryota; Viridiplantae; Streptophyta; Magnoliopsida; Malpighiales; Euphorbiaceae.